UUGGGCAACACGCCUUCCAUCUACCACCAACCUACCGAAGCGCAGCUCAGACUUGGCAACAAGAGAUCCAGCAGGAAAGUCCCGCCCAGAACAACCAAUGAUAUUGCAUCAAUACCGUCAUCUCUACUCCCUUCAACGGAUCUCCCAUGAACCAUCGAUGACCUGUUCAUGAAUAACUUUCACACGGUGUGUGUGUGUGCAUGCGUAUGGAUCCCCGGUUUACUGACUUCUGGUGCAUUACCUCCCUAUGACUUGCACUUCCUGCAGAGAUGGUCAAAGGAAGCAAGGCCGGUGGUUCCUGGUCCCCUGGCUGAUUCCACCCCCCACGACACCCCAUCCGCCUCCCUUGGACAUCGAGUGAAGCCCCGUCCAUACAGUCAGAUCCCUCCUGGACUCCGGAAUUUGUGGGGUUCGGCUCCAGUACCUAGUGGACUGGAAAGUGUACGGUCCAGAGGAGCAGUGUUGGUUUCGGUGGAUGACAUUCUAGAUCCCAACAUCAUUUGAGGGGAGGGGGGAAGGGUACUGCCACGUCUACUCCUGCUCCCCCGCUCCGGUGGUAGACGUUGUGCAGGUUUACUAACCACAGGACCUGGAAACCCAUCUUUAUGCACACCUGGCAACCGUCAUUACGCACACCUGCAUCUCAUCAUCAGUCACACUUGGACUUCAUAACUCAUCCUUUAUAUAGUACCCUUCUGUUAGUAGUCGUCAGGUAUUAAUGUUUCCAUGUAAGAUGCUUCAUGUUUUGUGUCGUUCCAUGUUCAUUAUUAUUAAACUCACCAACUGCACUUGUUUCUUGACUCCCUGCGCCUACGUUCCAGAUAAAUAUGUAUGUUUUUAAAACCGCAACACCGUCACCUGUUUUGUAUACAACUGAAGGACUGGGCUGUGGAAAUGCAAUCCCUCUCAAAUGCAUAGACUGACAGUCCAUGACAGUUCAAGAGAUAGCAAAAUCACAUGCUAUAACAUUCUAACACCUGUGUAUAACACAUUUUGACUAUCUGUGAACGACAGCCGUGCACCUGGUGAUUGGAACGGGUUACCAGGAGCAAAUCUUUAAAAUGUUUUUUUUGUAUGCCUUUAGGGGGUGCAAGGGGUCUAUGGCUGUGUAGGGAUCACCCCCCACCCAUGCCCACCUAUUUCCCUUUUGGACUUUUUUUUUUUUAAAUCGUUAAAAAUGACAGAGUCCCACUUCUCUCUCAUGUCACCAACGAGUGAUGGAGAGGAACCACUAUCACUGCCCGGACAUUCCGAGUUCAUCGGGCCAGUCAAUUUCACAUUUCUGCAGUAUUUUUGAGCAUGUCAAAUUUGUGAUGAUAAAUGCCCAUUGAAACAUAUUGCAAAUGGACAGUACAUUUGCAAUAAGAUUAAACAGUGAUGAACCAUCACCAUUUUUUUUUCACGUUUUCUGAAAAGAGAGAUUGAUUCCUUCAUCCAACAUAGACCUGCACAACCUUCCAAUUUAUUUAAUUUAAAUUGUUCUAAAGUAGUGUUUAAUUUAUAUAUUGAAAAGUUUCUGGUUUGCUCAGAUAAAUUAUUCAAUUUCUUUGAAUCGAAAUGUUAUUUUGCCUAUUUCCCUUUUCUUCCGGGAUAACACAUAGAUGGUGGACAGUCUAUUCCUCGUACAGACUGAAUGUAUGUCUCUUACCAACUGAAUACUGUUUAAAUGGUGUACAUUGUGAAAUAAAAUAAGCAUGCUUUUUGCUAUUAUCUUGUUGAUAACGUGAGCAUUAUGCAUGAAGAACCAUAUCUCCACCUUAAAACGAUCCUUGCUGCUUUGUUCUGUGCAAUCUGCAGCCUCCUAAUUUCACUUG
Oncorhynchus kisutch (coho salmon) is the source of this 1814-nucleotide long non-coding RNA. RefSeq lists it as uncharacterized. Lineage: Eukaryota; Metazoa; Chordata; Actinopteri; Salmoniformes; Salmonidae. The transcript has 3 exons. The record is from RefSeq and is a predicted model, not a curated record.